This 241-nucleotide ribosomal RNA is filed under the name uncultured bacterium. RNAcentral's name for it is "partial 16S ribosomal RNA". It matches the Rfam family "Bacterial small subunit ribosomal RNA", at positions 92 to 334 of the family's 1533-position model. The record is from RNAcentral.
CGACCGGCGCACGGGUGCGUAACGCGUAUGCAACCUACCUUUAACAGGGGCAUAACACUGAGAAAUUGGUACUAAUACCCCAUAAUAUCAUAGAAGGCAUCUUUUAUGGUUGAAAAUUCCGAUGGUUAGAGAUGGGCAUGCGUUGUAUUAGCUAGUUGGUGGGGUAACGGCUCACCAAGGCGACGAUACAUAGGGGGACUGAGAGGUUAACCCCCCACACUGGUACUGAGACACGGACCAG